AUACUUACCUGGCAAGGGAGACACCGUGAUCAAGAAGGCGGUUCACCCAGGGCGAGGCUCAGCCAUUGCACUCCGGCUGUGCUGACCCCUGCGAAUUUCCCAAAUGUGGAAAUCUCGAUUGCAUAAUUUCUGGUAGUGGGGGACUGCGUUGCGCUCUCCCCUG
RNAcentral lists this small nuclear RNA (163 nucleotides) under Salmo salar (Atlantic salmon). Its description in RNAcentral is "U1 spliceosomal RNA (ENSSSAG00000086187.1, ENSSSAG00075000523.1)". It matches the Rfam family "U1 spliceosomal RNA". Rfam says of the family: U1 is a small nuclear RNA (snRNA) component of the spliceosome (involved in pre-mRNA splicing). Its 5' end forms complementary base pairs with the 5' splice junction, thus defining the 5' donor site of an intron. There are significant differences in sequence and secondary structure between metazoan and yeast U1 snRNAs, the latter being much longer (568 nucleotides as compared to 164 nucleotides in human). Lineage: Eukaryota; Metazoa; Chordata; Actinopteri; Salmoniformes; Salmonidae. The record is from RNAcentral.